Molecule: ribosomal RNA, 497 nt
Filed under: uncultured bacterium
Lineage: Bacteria
Description: partial 16S ribosomal RNA
Rfam family: Bacterial small subunit ribosomal RNA
Source: RNAcentral
GAUGAACGCUGGCGGCGUGCCUAAUACAUGCAAGUCGAGCGAACGGACGAGAAGCUUGCUUCUCUGAUGUUAGCGGCGGACGGGUGAGUAACACGUGGAUAACCUACCUAUAAGACUGGGAUAACUUCGGGAAACCGGAGCUAAUCCCGGAUGAUAUUUUGAACCGCAUGGUUCAAAAGUGAAAGACGGUCUUGCUGUCACUUAUAGAUGGAUCCGCGCUGCAUUAGCUAGUUGGUAAGGUAACGGCUUACCAAGGCAACGAUGCGUAGCCGACCUGAGAGGGUGAUCGGCCACACUGGAACUGAGACACGGUCCAGACUCCUACGGGAGGCAGCAGUAGGGAAUCUUCCGCAAUGGGCGAAAGCCUGACGGAGCAACGCCGCGUGAGUGAUGAAGGUCUUCGGAUCGUAAAACUCUGUUAUUAGGGAAGAACAUAUGUGUAAGUAACUGUGCACAUCUUGACGGUACCUAAUCAGAAAGCCACGGCUAACUACGUG